This 730-nucleotide ribosomal RNA is filed under the name uncultured Flavobacterium sp. RNAcentral describes it as "bacterial SSU rRNA". It matches the Rfam family "Bacterial small subunit ribosomal RNA", at positions 72 to 802 of the family's 1533-position model. Lineage: Bacteria; Pseudomonadati; Bacteroidota; Flavobacteriia; Flavobacteriales; Flavobacteriaceae. The record is from RNAcentral.
AUAGUUCUUCGGAACUAGAGACCGGCGCACGGGUGCGUAACGCGUAUGCAAUCUACCUUUCACAGAGGGAUAGCCCAGAGAAAUUUGGAUUAAUACCUCAUAGUAUAGUGGUACCGCAUGGUAUUACUAUUAAAGUCACAACGGUGAAAGAUGAGCAUGCGUCCCAUUAGCUUGUUGGUAAGGUAACGGCUUACCAAGGCUACGAUGGGUAGGGGUCCUGAGAGGGAGAUCCCCCACACUGGUACUGAGACACGGACCAGACUCCUACGGGAGGCAGCAGUGAGGAAUAUUGGUCAAUGGGCGCAAGCCUGAACCAGCCAUGCCGCGUGCAGGAUGACGGUCCUAUGGAUUGUAAACUGCUUUUGUACAGGAAGAAACACUGGUUCGUGAACCAGCUUGACGGUACUGUAAGAAUAAGGAUCGGCUAACUCCGUGCCAGCAGCCGCGGUAAUACGGAGGAUCCAAGCGUUAUCCGGAAUCAUUGGGUUUAAAGGGUCCGUAGGCGGUCAGAUAAGUCAGUGGUGAAAGCCCAUCGCUCAACGGUGGAACGGCCAUUGAUACUGUCUGACUUGAAUUAUUAGGAAGUAACUAGAAUAUGUAGUGUAGCGGUGAAAUGCUUAGAGAUUACAUGGAAUACCAAUUGCGAAGGCAGGUUACUACUAAUGGAUUGACGCUGAUGGACGAAAGCGUGGGUAGCGAACAGGAUUAGAUACCCUGGUAGUCCACGCCG